UAGGGAAUCUUCGGCAAUGGACGAAAGUCUGACCGAGCAACGCCGCGUGAGUGAAGAAGGCUUUCGGAUCGUAAAACUCUGUUGUUAGAGAAGAACAAGGACGUUAGUAACUGAACGUCCCCUGACGGUAUCUAACCAGAAAGCCACGGCUAACUACGUGCCAGCAGCCGCGGUAAUACGUAGGUGGCAAGCGUUGUCCGGAUUUAUUGGGCGUAAAGCGAGCGCAGGCGGUUUCUUAAGCCUGAUGUGAAAGCCCCCGGCUCAACCGGGGAGGGUCAUUGGAAACUGGGAGACUUGAGUGCAGAAGAGGAGAGUGGAAUUCCAUGUGUAGCAGUGAAAUGCGUAGAUAUAUGGAGGAACACCAGUGGCGAAGGCGGCUCUCUGGUCUGUAACUGACGCUGAGGCUCGAAAGCGUGGGGAGCAAACAGG
RNAcentral lists this ribosomal RNA (429 nucleotides) under Gemmatimonadota bacterium. RNAcentral describes it as "Gemmatimonadetes bacterium partial 16S ribosomal RNA". It matches the Rfam family "Bacterial small subunit ribosomal RNA", at positions 355 to 776 of the family's 1533-position model. The record is from RNAcentral. Lineage: Bacteria; Pseudomonadati; Gemmatimonadota.